RNAcentral lists this ribosomal RNA (254 nucleotides) under uncultured bacterium. RNAcentral's name for it is "partial 16S ribosomal RNA". It matches the Rfam family "Bacterial small subunit ribosomal RNA", at positions 524 to 776 of the family's 1533-position model. The record is from RNAcentral.
UACGUAGGGUGCGAGCGUUGUCCGGAUUUAUUGGGCGUAAAGAGCUCGUAGGUGGUUUGGUAAGUCGGAUGUGAAAUCUCCAGGCUCAACCUGGAGGGGUCAUUCGAUACUGCCAUGACUAGAGGUCGGUAGGGGAGUGUGGAAUUCCUGGUGGAGCGGUGAAAUGCGCAGAUAUCAGGAGGAACACCCGUAGCGAAGGCGGCACUCUGGGCCGAUACUGACACUGAGGAGCGAAAGCGUGGGGAGCGAACAGG